Solanum stenotomum is the source of this 306-nucleotide long non-coding RNA. RefSeq lists it as uncharacterized. The record is from RefSeq and is a predicted model, not a curated record. The transcript is spliced from 3 exons. Lineage: Eukaryota; Viridiplantae; Streptophyta; Magnoliopsida; Solanales; Solanaceae.
GGAUUUAGAAGUUGUUGGCGGAAGCAUACUAUGUCAUGAUGAGUGCAAGAAGGACUGUAUAUUGAUUCACGACCAAGAAUAGGCGGAAUGAAUCCGGAAAGGGAAGGAUCAAGUUUCUUAGGCUUUCAAGGUUGUUCGAGGGCAUCUUCAAUCGGUUACUGACAGACCUCACUUAGAAGAUUGUGAUCAUUGCUUCGAAUUCAAGGGUGAGCCAAUUCUUCCGGGUUGCCAUGUGAUUCUCUUUCGUCGAUGUCCACCAUUUUCGAUCUUAGACUUAUGUUCUAGUUAGUUGAUUAGUUAAUUAGA